Cornus florida is the source of this 2379-nucleotide long non-coding RNA. RefSeq lists it as uncharacterized. The record is from RefSeq and is a predicted model, not a curated record. NCBI's taxonomy places the organism in Eukaryota, Viridiplantae, Streptophyta, Magnoliopsida, Cornales, Cornaceae. The transcript has 2 exons.
AACCAUUUGGAUCAAUCGAAAUAAGUGAUAGAUCAAUCGAAAUUACGUCUUUUGAACUUCUGAGAAAUGUUUUGGCAGUUGGGUUCUUAACCCUAAUUUCAUUUUUUUAUUUUAUUUUAUUUACUUUACUUAUUUUCUUUUCUUUUUCUUUUUCUUUUCUCUUUCUUCCCCUCUUAUCUUUUUUUCUCUAUAUCUUCAUUUUCUCUCUCUUUCUCUUUCUCUCUCUCCCUGCGAAUUCUCUCUCCCCGAUCCCUCUCUCACCCUCUCAAGUUCUCUCAAUCUCUUAUCCUCAAUCUCCCACCCAACCUUCAUCCCAGCAAACCAGAAACUCAAUCCCACCUAACCUCACUAUCUUCCUCAUUGCCGGUGAGAACCCAAGGCAACCCAAACCGGCGCCGACAAGCUCCAUUUUUACAAGCAAGGCUUUUGGCCCAAGGGCCAAGCCAUUUUCUCUCUCUAGCUUGAAUUUUUCCCAGAUUCUCUCGUUUUAGUCAUCUCCGCCUAUUUCGGCCAAGGAGACCCAGAUCUCUAUCUCCGGCGACCUUUGCACGUUCUGGCGAAGCUCUAGCAAGCUUUCGGUAACCAUUUCCGACCAAGGUUAGGCCGGAAAGCUUAGAUUCUUCCCGAAUCUCACUCUCUUCACUCUAUCUUCCAAUCUUUGGCCCGGAUACAGCGCAGAGAGAAGACUCUUGUUAGAAAAAGAGUACGCAGAGCUCCACAGCCUCCUCCUUCUCCAAAGGUAGAGUCUUCUUCGUCUUCAUCUUCUACUGCUACAACAUUUGCAACAAUCCAUACAGAGCCAUCACUUAUGGAAGCUCAAGGUUCUAUUAUCCAAGAAGUACCUUCUAUCUCUUACUCUCGCAAGAAACUGAAGCCUGAGUACAGAUUUAACCGCAAUCUAUUUUUCGAGUUGGAGUAGACCAAAUGGUCUUAUAAUGAGCUCACUCAUAGGGGCAUUAAUGCCAUCAUGACACUGGCAGACACUGUAGUUUAUCCCUGGGUGGUUGCAUUGUUCUUCCAGCACCUUUGGUUGGAUGAGGAUGACAGACUCUUGAUGCAUAUGACUAUAGAAAGCCAAGAGAUCGACAUCUCUAUCCCGACCAUAGUUGUUGCAUACCGAUGCCCCCAUCUCUCUUCACUAAUUGUUGACUCUGAGGAUCCAUUAUAUCCCAACGCUCCACCUUUUCCCUCCGAGCUGACCACGGUAGUGACUUUAUCUCCAUAUGCUGCCUUUGAGGGCAACACAUUUUGCAGACCAGGUUAACAUUGAUCCCCGAUACUGGUUUAUCGAUUAUGUGCUACACCUCAAUGCCUUCCAUCAGGCCAUAGCACAGCGGAGAGAGGGGAUUUUUCAGGCUCUAUACUGUUUGAGCCAGGGUUAUUAGAUUUUUGUUCCUGCGCUCAUCUGGGAGCUCAUUCACAAGUUCUAGAAGAAUCUGAUAUGUACAUAUAAUUCUAGAGCUGAGGCUUGGCCUUCACCAUAUGGCCACCUGAUUACUCAGCUGCUGAUUGACCAAGGCUAUCAUUUUGACCCAGAUGAGAUUCCAGAGACUGAUGUACAGAGAGCUAGGAGGGCAUCUGACUAGGCCAAGUGGACAAAGACCUAUAAUUCUUGCCUCAAGAACAGAAAGAACAGAGAUAGGAAAAGGAAACGAGAUCAAGAGAGGGCAGAGGAUGAUGCAGCUACAGAGGAGGCAGCCGAUAGAUCACCUCUCAGACAGAGGCAUCGCAUUACUACUUCCGCUUCUACCUCACAGCCAGAUGUACCUAUUAUAUCGGAGCAAGCCGGCCCCUCUCAUGUCCUUCCUACAGAUCCAAUGCCACAGGCCGACACUCGAUCCGACAUGGUAGUACAGAUUCUAGCUACAAAUAUGAUAUCACUCAGCUGCACACAGACUUCAUUUCCUUCAGAGCUGAUAUGAUCCGGCGGCACGAGGAUAUCAUGAGGCGGUAUAAUGAUCUGGUAAAGAGACAUGAUGACUUAGUAGAGAGGCACGAUGAUCUAGUUUGGCGGUCUAAUAAUUUGAGGACAGAUAUUGCCGAGGUGAAGCGAGAGCUUAGGGCAUUGGGGAUUGACCUUACGAUAUCCCUCACUCGCCACAGCCGAGAUAUGUUUGACAUACUGCAGCACAUUGCUGACAUGAUGACUAUGGGUCCUACUCCCUAAUUCCACCAUUUUCUCUCUCUAUUACUCAUUAUCUGCUUUGAUACACUAUCAUUUCGAUACACUGCUAUUAUUGGGAUAUUUUUUACUGUCUUGAUAUUUGCGCUGGUUUUGGAUACUUUGGAUAUUAUUUUUACACUACACUUGCUAUACAUUGAUUUUUGGAUAUAUGGUUUUGGAUUUACUUGAUAUAUAUGGAUUUUUGGAUUUUGAUA